RNAcentral lists this unclassified non-coding RNA (372 nucleotides) under Yarrowia lipolytica. The record is from RNAcentral. Lineage: Eukaryota; Fungi; Ascomycota; Dipodascomycetes; Dipodascales.
GACAAGGUGGGAGGAGAGAAGGUUAGUUAGUCCCGGGAUACGGAGAAUCUGUUUGUUGAAGGUAAUACCUGUUUUUCGUCACAUCUGACGUGGGUUGACUGGUUUGGCACGCGUACAGCAGUAUCAUUGAGCUCUUCUCUUCAAUCGACAGUCUGAUCCAUUGACUACUUCGAUCCAUUGACAAUCUUGGAUCCAUUGAGCAGUUAUCAAACCCCCACCUGUUUUCGGUGCCAUUGAGCAGUUUCUAAUUGCGCGUAUUGUGUUAGCACUCAUCUUUCUAUUUUAGCUGAUUUUAGACGUUUUUUUCUAAAAAAACAAUACAUGUGGGUUACUCUGACAAAUUGGCGAUAAAACAAAAAACGGAGUAUGGGU